This 547-nucleotide ribosomal RNA is filed under the name Saccharomyces cerevisiae (brewer's yeast). RNAcentral describes it as "eukaryotic LSU rRNA". It matches the Rfam family "Eukaryotic large subunit ribosomal RNA", at positions 61 to 611 of the family's 3401-position model. Lineage: Eukaryota; Fungi; Ascomycota; Saccharomycetes; Saccharomycetales; Saccharomycetaceae. The record is from RNAcentral.
GAAACCAACCGGGAUUGCCUUAGUAACGGCGAGUGAAGCGGCAAAAGCUCAAAUUUGAAAUCUGGUACCUUCGGUGCCCGAGUUGUAAUUUGGAGAGGGCAACUUUGGGGCCGUUCCUUGUCUAUGUUCCUUGGAACAGGACGUCAUAGAGGGUGAGAAUCCCGUGUGGCGAGGAGUGCGGUUCUUUGUAAAGUGCCUUCGAAGAGUCGAGUUGUUUGGGAAUGCAGCUCUAAGUGGGUGGUAAAUUCCAUCUAAAGCUAAAUAUUGGCGAGAGACCGAUAGCGAACAAGUACAGUGAUGGAAAGAUGAAAAGAACUUUGAAAAGAGAGUGAAAAAGUACGUGAAAUUGUUGAAAGGGAAGGGCAUUUGAUCAGACAUGGUGUUUUGUGCCCUCUGCUCCUUGUGGGUAGGGGAAUCUCGCAUUUCACUGGGCCAGCAUCAGUUUUGGUGGCAGGAUAAAUCCAUAGGAAUGUAGCUUGCCUCGGUAAGUAUUAUAGCCUGUGGGAAUACUGCCAGCUGGGACUGAGGACUGCGACGUAAGUCAAGG